CCUACGGGUGGCUGCAGUAGGGAAUAUUGGUCAAUGGAUGCAAGUCUGAACCAGCCAUGCCGCGUGCAGGAAGAAGGCGUUAUGCGUUGUAAACUGCUUUUGCCAGGGGAUAAAAUUUCCUUGCGAGGAACAUUGAAGGUACCUGGUGAAUAAGCCACGGCUAACUACGUGCCAGCAGCCGCGGUAAUACGUAGGUGGCAAGCGUUGUCCGGAUUUAUUGGGUUUAAAGGGUGCGUAGGCGGCCCUGUAAGUCAGUGCUGAAAUAUCCCGGCUUA
RNAcentral lists this ribosomal RNA (275 nucleotides) under uncultured Ohtaekwangia sp. Its description in RNAcentral is "partial 16S ribosomal RNA". It matches the Rfam family "Bacterial small subunit ribosomal RNA", at positions 338 to 611 of the family's 1533-position model. The record is from RNAcentral. Lineage: Bacteria; Pseudomonadati; Bacteroidota; Cytophagia; Cytophagales; Fulvivirgaceae.